Non-coding RNA from Elaeis guineensis (African oil palm), 534 nucleotides. The record is from RefSeq and is a predicted model, not a curated record. Lineage: Eukaryota; Viridiplantae; Streptophyta; Magnoliopsida; Arecales; Arecaceae.
CUUUUUAGCUCAUCCUUCUCUCCCCGUGCUCCUCGUCGAGUUUCGUAGCCGGCCACGAAAAAUAAAUCAGAAAAAAAGAUCGUGGGGGAAGGGGUUCACACCUCCGGCGAUGAGAUGACCCCCUCGUCGCCGCCUCGCCCCCGCUCGAGCCGGCUCCCAUCGCCUUUCCUUAGCAUUACCUCCUCCGCUCUGCAGUCCGAUCACCCUCGCCGGAGCGGUGAGCUGCUGGACAGCUUCGCCUGAGGGCUCUCUUAGGGUUACACGGCGAGAUCUCCAAGAUUGAAAGGUGACGCAGUGAGGUAAUGCGGGGAUUGUGGUGGUGAAGGGAGGUGAGGUUCUGCCGGCAUACAAGGGGAAGAUGUUGGCAAGCCCUCUUCCACAUCCUAUUUCUGAUUCGAAUCGGAAGAUCAUCGAGACGAAUGGUCCACCCAAGCGGUUGUAUCAAGUCUGGAAAGGAAGCAACGUGAGAAACCUUCAGGCUAAUGCACUUCGUUAUUAUUGUUCUGUUCCACCACCAUAAAUACGGGUUUUAUU